This 383-nucleotide ribosomal RNA is filed under the name uncultured eukaryote. Its description in RNAcentral is "partial 18S ribosomal RNA". It matches the Rfam family "Eukaryotic small subunit ribosomal RNA", at positions 592 to 976 of the family's 1831-position model. The record is from RNAcentral.
CAAUAGCGUAUAUUAAAGUUGUUGCAGUUAAAAAGCUCGUAGUUGGAUUUCUGCAUUUACUCCUGACUCACAGGUCCUCACGGACUCUGUUCGAUGUUGGUUGAUGUUUAUGCAUCCUUUCAGGUAGUUAUCUGCUUGCAGGUUUCUGUCUGGAUCGUUUACUUUGAAAAAAUUAGAGUGUUCAAAGCAGGCUUUACGCAUUUGAAUACAUUAGCAUGGAAUAAUAAGAUAGGACUUUGGUUCUAUUUAUAUGGUUUUCGGGACUGAAGUAAUGAUUGAUAGGGAUAGUUGGGGGUGCUUGUAUUGGACGGCCAGAGGUGAAAUUCUUGGAUUCGUUCAAGACAAACUACUGCGAAAGCAUUCACCAAGGAUAUUUUCUUUAA